GUUUUAAUAAUUUAAUAAAAAUAUUGAUCUUGUAAAUCAAAAUUAAGACUACGCUUUUAAAACU
Molecule: transfer RNA, 64 nt
Filed under: Platyxantha sp. BMNH 846582
Lineage: Eukaryota; Metazoa; Arthropoda; Insecta; Coleoptera; Chrysomelidae
Description: tRNA-Thr
Source: RNAcentral